This 84-nucleotide microRNA precursor is filed under the name Carica papaya (papaya). RNAcentral describes it as "miR408 stem-loop (cpa-MIR408)". Its record names the gene cpa-MIR408. It matches the Rfam family "MIR408 microRNA precursor family", at positions 22 to 107 of the family's 126-position model. Lineage: Eukaryota; Viridiplantae; Streptophyta; Magnoliopsida; Brassicales; Caricaceae. The record is from miRBase by way of RNAcentral.
UGGGAAGAGGCAGAGCAUGGAUGGAGUCAUUAACAAUAUACCCUUCUGUUUUUGGUUCUACCCCUGCACUGCCUCUUCCCUGGC